Molecule: long non-coding RNA, 2170 nt
Organism: Oreochromis aureus
Lineage: Eukaryota; Metazoa; Chordata; Actinopteri; Cichliformes; Cichlidae
Source: Ensembl
GCUACAAUGUAGCUUGCCAUCACCAGUGUGUGAAUGGGUGGAUGACUGGAUGUGUAAAGCGCUUUGGGGUCCUUAGGGACUAGUAAAGCGCUAUACAAAUACAGGCCAUUUACCAUUUAACAACAGACAUUUCUCCUGUACUUCCUUCUGAAAAAACUGAACACAUCAGGACUCUCCCUGUACAGCUGUUUUCUGUAGUGUGAUGAGCUCUGAAACCUGAGUGAAACUCAAACCAUUCCUUUGCAGCUGAUCAGUUAGCUGUUUUACAACUACUCUUUUAAUAUACGUUUUUUUUUUUUUUUUUUUUCCCACAAAGGGAAGGUUGGAGAUUAGAUAAGAAAACUUGGUCACAUCACAAUUUAAUGACUUCCACCUUAAAGGCUGACAGCCUAUUCAAAGUGUACCCACUUCUCUUGACCUGUAACAUCUGGGAUAGGCUCCAGUAAAGAAAAAGCAUGGAGGCAGUUUCUCAGUGUGCUUUAUUGAUGUUACCUUAGCCAUCAUCAACAAAAAUGGUUUAAAUCAGAUUACUGCCACUAAUAAUUACUGAAAGACCAUGUACACAGCAUCAUCUGGAAUUAUUCUCUUGUACUGAUCAACUAACUAUUCAGCAAUUUAGAAACAUGAAUGUGAUAAGAUAACCCCUUGUUCAAAUUUCCUACUCUUCCGUGCAUGCUAGAAAGCCAUCAGAAACACCAAUGACCAUAACACUAAAAAUAUGUAAUAAAUCAUGUCAUGUCAUCAGUCAUGUGGCUUUGUGCCAACGCUACAACUAAAUGGUCUCUCUCUCGGCCCCAUGUGAACCCCUACAUCUGACACUUUAACCUUAAUAUUAUUAUUAUUUUUUUUUUUUUUACAAAAGCUGCAAACUGUUUGUCCUGUCCUAUGUGUCUUAAGUAAUCUGUUUUGGUUUAUUAAAAUAUUUUACUUGUUUUACGUCUAAUUUUACAAUGAAAUGGUUUCUCUGGUGUGUGAAAUCGCUUUUUUCCAUUUGCACCACUGUUUACAAGUUUAGAUUCAGAGUUUAACAAUGGUUUCUGCCAUUUACCAUCAUCUUCAUUGCUGCUGCCUUCAGUUUCAGAUCCAGAUUCUGAUGAAGGUCCAUGCAAGUUAUAAUUAUCAACACUGCUGCUGCUUUCCGUUUCAGAUCCAGAUUCUGAUGAAGAUCCGUUCAAGUUAUAAUUAUCAAUGCUGCUGUCUUCAGUUUCAGAGCCAGAUUCUGAUGAAGAUCCAUGCAAGUUAUAAUUAUCGAUGCUGCUAUCUUCAGUUUCAGAGCCAGAUUCUGUUGAAGAUCCAUGCAAGUUAUAAUUAUCAAUGCUGCUGUCUUCAGUUUCAGAUCCAGAUUCUGACAGAGAUUGAUGCAGGUUAGAAUUUUUACUCUUGCCAUCUUCAGUUUCAGGUUCAGAAGCAGACAAUGGCUCCUGCCAAUAAUUAUCACAAUCACCACCCACAGCAACAUCUUUAGUCUCGGUGAAGUCUGAAGCCUGUACAUUAGUAUUCUGUGGUAAACAGCUACUGUGAUGAGCGUUCCUAGCCUGUUUGCUUGCUCCAUCGUCCUCAGUUUCUGUUUUCAUUCGUUUACCUGAUCCUCUGUUUUGUGUCUGCGCUUGCCUGUUUUUGAGAGGUGGGCCUUGAUAAGGUUGUGGGGACUGCGGUUUCUUUUCAUCAUUUUCACUCUUCACAUGAACAGAAGUGAGCAGGAACCCAGCGAUAUCAGCCUCCUUUAUCCUAUUAAGAUUCACUUCAACCUCUUCGCCAUUUAUGUGAUGUUCCUCCUGCUCCUCCUUUAUUUGGCGUUCUUUGUGUUCGUCUUUUAAGUGGCAUUCUUCCUGCUCCUCCUUUUCGUGGCGCUCCUCCUGCUGAUUUAUUAUACGACGCUGCUCCAGAUCCGUCUCUAUAUGACGCUCCUCCAGCUCCGUCUCUAUACAAUGCUCUUCCAGCUCCGUCUUUAUACGACGCUCCUCCUGCUCCUCCUCUAUACGACGCUCCUCCUCUAUACGACGCUCCUCCAGCUCCAUCUUUAUACAACGCUCCUCCUGCUCCUCCUCUAUAUGACGCUCCUCCAGCUCCAUCUUUGUGGGCCCUUCUUCCUGUUUUUUCUUUAGCUGGAGAUGAUCUAUGACCCACCGUUUCAGACCAGCAUUUAAUUGAGGUGGAGCAUCUUGGGCAU